This 75-nucleotide transfer RNA is filed under the name Alosa alosa (allis shad). RNAcentral describes it as "tRNA-OTHER". Lineage: Eukaryota; Metazoa; Chordata; Actinopteri; Clupeiformes; Clupeidae. The record is from RNAcentral.
GCAGCCGUGGCCUACUGGCUAGGGGUUUUGGCUUGUAACCGAAGGGUUGCAGGUUCGAUCCCCGACCCAGUAGGA